AGGGGAGUGAAACAGUACCUGAAACCGUGCGCCCACGAGCAGUCGGAGCAACUUUUAGUUGUGACGGCGUGCCUUUUGUAGAAUGAGCCAGCGAGUCGCUGGCGCGGGGCGAGGUUAACCGGAAGGGAGCCGAAGCGAAAGCGAGCCUUAACAGGGCGACUUGAGUCCCGCGCCGCGGACGCGAAGCCGGGUGAGCUAUCCGUGGGCAGGCUGAAGCGGGGGUAAGACCCCGUGGAGGGCCGAACGCACGUCGGUUGAAAACGGCGGCGAUGACCUGCGGAUAGGGGUGAAAGGCCAAUCAAACCCGGAGAUAUCUCGUUCUCCCCGAAAUAGCUUUAGGGCUAGCGUCGCGCGUUCACCGCCGGAGGUAGAGCACCGGAUGGACGAGGGGGCUUCGCCGCCUACCGAAUCCAACCGAACUCCGAAUGCCGGCGGCCCAGAGCGCGGCAGUCAGAGCAUGUGGGCUAAGCUGUGUGCUCGAGAGGGAAACAGCCCGGACCGCCCGCUAAGGUCCCCAAGUUCCAGCCGAGUGGCAAAGGAUGUGCGUCCGCCCAGACAACCAGGAUGUUGGCUUAGAAGCAGCCAUUCAUUCAAAGAGUGCGUAACAGCUCACUGGUCGAGUGGACAUGCGCCGACAAUACACGGGGCUAAGCUGGACACCGAAGCGGCGGGAUUUUAAUUCAUUAGAAUCGGUAGGGGAGCUUCCCAUGGGCGGGGAAGCCGCCGGGCGACCGGCGGUGGAGCGCAUGGGAGUGAGAAUGCUGGCAUGAGUAGCGAGAGACGAGAGAGUAACUCGUCCGCCGUGAACCCGAGGUUUCCUGGGCAAGGCUAAUCCUCCCAGGGUCAGUCGGGGGCUAAGGCGAGGCCGGCAGGCGUAGCCGACGCGCAGCAGGCAGACAUUCCUGCACCGCGCACGCGGCGCUACGACCGACGGGGCGACGGAUGGGGGUGGCUCGGCGGGGUUCGGGACGUCCCCGUGAUGGAGCGCUGCCCGCGGACCAGGGAAAUCCGGUCCGCACGAGGGCGAGGCUCCGGACGAAGCACUUAAGCGAAGCGAGUGAGCCCGAGGUCCCUAGAAAAACCCCUAGGCAGGCGCGUGCGCGCCCGUACCGCAAACCGACCCAGGUGGGUGGGUAGAACAUACCGAGGCGAUCGGGUCAACCAUGGUCAAGGAACUCGGCAAAAUGGCCCCGUAACUUAGGGAUAAGGGGUGCCUGGGAAACCAGGCCGCAGAGAAUAGGCUCAAGCAACUGUUUAGCAAAAACACAGGUCUAUGCGAAACCGAAAGGUGAGGUAUAUGGGCUGACGCCUGCCCGGUGCUGGAAGGUUAAGAGGAGAAGUCAGGCAACGAAGCUUCGAAUUUAAGCCCCAGUAAACGGCGGCCGUAACUAUAACGGUCCUAAGGUAGCGAAAUUCCUUGUCGGGUAAGUUCCG
RNAcentral lists this ribosomal RNA (1434 nucleotides) under human gut metagenome. Its description in RNAcentral is "bacterial LSU rRNA". It matches the Rfam family "Bacterial large subunit ribosomal RNA", at positions 532 to 1985 of the family's 2925-position model. The record is from RNAcentral.